GGUGCAGGUGGGCAGUUCGGCUGGGGCGGCACCCCUUUGAAAAGAUAUCAAAGGGGCCCAAAGUUCGGUUCAAACGGGUCAGAAAUCCGUUGAAGAGGGCAAGGCCACAAUCUGGACUGACUGGAUCUCCAAACGCACGGGAUUCAGAGACGAAAGUCGGGCCUAGCGAUCCAUGACGUCCCCACUAUUGGGGGCUCGUGGUGACAGAAAAAUUACCCCAGGGAUAACAGGCUCGUCGCGGGCGAGAGCUCCUAUCGACCCCGCGGUUUGGUACCUCGAUGUCGGCUUUUCCCAUCCUGGCCCUGCAGCAGGGGCCAAGGGUGAGGCUGCUCGCCUAUUAAAGGGGAACAUGAGCUGGGUUUAGACCGUCGUGAGACAGGUCGGACUCUGCCUGAUGGAAGCGUGGAUACUUGAGGGGAAGNNNNNNNNNNGCUAAGCUAUUUGGGCUAACUCCUGAAAGCAUCUAAGGAGGAAUCCCAUCCCGAGAAAAGGUAUCCGUCCGUUUAGGUGAAGGGUGGCGAAAGAAGAUCGCGUUGAUAGAACAGCAGUAUAAAUCCCAAGCUUCGGCGAGGGGUGAGCUGGCUGUCACUAACAACCCAAUACAUCAGCUCA
This 612-nucleotide ribosomal RNA is filed under the name Nitrososphaerota archaeon. RNAcentral's name for it is "Thaumarchaeota archaeon partial 23S ribosomal RNA". It matches the Rfam family "Archaeal large subunit ribosomal RNA", at positions 2320 to 2987 of the family's 2987-position model. Lineage: Archaea; Thermoproteati; Nitrososphaerota. The record is from RNAcentral.